CUCUGGCAGAAGGCGUGGCUGGCAGCCCUGCCCCUGAUUGUUGAGAUCAGGGUCCUGCUUCAAUGGAGGCAGACACCAUGGGCAGAUGUACAUGAACAGUGAAAAACAGAUUAAUUUAGCAAAUCAGUAUAGGUACGGAGACUAUUUUCCUGCUCAAAAUUAGAGCAUCGGCCUCGAAUUCGUGUCCACAAAAAUAAAACAUAUAAAUCAGCUGUCUUUCUUUUACCUUAGAUAAAUGUCGACAGGUAUAAUCAUAGCCAUACCAGGGAACGCCCAUCACAAGCUUCUUUGGAUGAAUGCCCAUAAGAAGAUGUGGAGUGCUUUAUCUGGAAUUAAAGAGACCUGUAUUUAAUACAAGCCUACAUAUCUUGUAGCACAACCCAUCAGCCUUGUAUGGAGACCCAUCAGCUUCCGAAAACUUUUUAUGGUGUGUGGAUUUAAAAAACAGAGGGACUGUCAAACAUCUGAUGGAGACAGGACAAGUGCUACAGAGGACUGAGAAGGUACAAGAUCCAGACUUUGAAUGGUGGUCUUUCAAAAUGGAGAUGUUCCUAAAAAGCCACAGCAUCAGCAGGGUCUUACACAGAGAGUGCUCUGUCAGAGAAGGAGAAGAAAGACAAGCCUGGGAAAGUGCAGAUGAUAAAGCAACCGGGAUGAUUUGUUUAUCAGUGAGUGACUAUAUUGCUGCAUUUAAGAAAUUAAUAGCAUGCACAGGACAUGUGGGAGACUCUGAAGAAAUUGUAUGAAAGAAAGUCAGCUGUCUCUAAGGUGCAUCAAGCUAUAAGAUGUGUAAUAAGAAAGUAAGGGAGGGAGAGGAUCUGUCUGUGCAUGUAAAUGAGAUGUUGGAAACAUCAUGGCAGCUGCAUGCAAAGGGAUCAAUUUUGCCUGAUAAGGUUCAGAUUGAAUUGUUGAACAGCCUUUCAGAGCAUUUUGAAUAUAUUGUAAAUGUAUUAGAAGCCAAAGAUGAUAUGAAUUUGGAGUUUGUAAUAAACCACUUGGAAGACUUCA
Molecule: long non-coding RNA, 1008 nt
Organism: Hemicordylus capensis (graceful crag lizard)
Lineage: Eukaryota; Metazoa; Chordata; Lepidosauria; Squamata; Cordylidae
Exons: 3
Source: RefSeq, a predicted model, not a curated record